CAACAGUCAGACUCAAUGGUUGUACUUUCACUUUUUCCUUUAUCUUUCUCCCAUUCGUGCACGAACUCCAUCCCCUCGAGCAGAGCUAGGGUUUUCGCUUGAAGUGCAGAUUGCACUCUCACCUGGCGUGCGAAUCCUCCUAAUAAAAUUCCGGCGGCAUCUCUGCAAACUCCAGUAAUCACUCCUAUAGAUGUGCCCGCUCUGAACCCUCCAUCAACGUUUAUUUUCAGCGACCUCGAGGUAGGGGGAUUCCAUUUCGUUGCAGAGGGCUUCGGUGACUACUCCAUUCGGGUCUAGAGUCUUCUUUCGGAAGAUGGCCCCAUUCGUCUCUUUCCACACCAUCCAGAGCGUUUCGGCAAUUAGUUUGAGGGACGGUGCUUUUGGUAAGCCGCUCUUAUAAUGAAGGAGCCACCGAUCUAUGCUUGUUAGUCCCUUGCUCUGUAUUGGGAUGUUGAUGCGUGGAUCUGACCAAACUUUGGAUGUCCAGGGCAAAGCAGAAAUAAAUGCUCUAUUGUUUCGAGCUUCAUUUUGCACAGAUGGCAAGUCGGUUCAGGUAUGAUUUUUCGUCUGAAUAAAUUCUUCUUUGUGGGGAGAGCAUUUUGACAGAGAUUCCAUAUAAAAACUUUGAUUUUUGGGAGGGUCUGCAAACUCCAAAUUUUACACCAUAGCGCUCUAGGCUUUUGGUAUGAGGUUGAUGCUUCGUUAUGUGCUGGGUAGAUAUUUGCUUUCCUUUGUUGGCCUUUAGCAAGACUCAAUCUCAUUGGAUUUGGGUGAGGUCAAGCCAUGAUGGCCUCACCCAAAUUUAGGCGAGGGCUUCAUUGCCCUCAUCCCAAUGGCCAACGACCUCAUCAACCACAAUAAGCAAAAAAAGAGGAAAAGAAAGUAAGGAAAAAAGAAGAAAAGAAAAGUUUUAAUUUUUUUUAGAAACUAUUUAUAUCAACACCUACUGUAUGACAUAGGAUGCCAAAUGUUAACGUCGGCAAUUUCCGGUUAAAAUUGAUUGAAUGAACUCGAUUGGCAAAAUAUAAAAAGUUUAUGACUCAAUUAACGUAAUAAAAAUAUCUAGCACUAAAUUGAAGCUCCGAAGUGGAUUCUUAGAUAUUUAAAGAGGAUAACAGACGUGGGUAUAAUGUAUCGAAGGAACAACAAUGGCGGUGAGAUCACUAGUUAUGUGGAUUCAGAUCACGCUAGUAACUUGAAUGAUUGCAAGUCUUUAGCAAGGUAUAUAUUUACACUAGUAGGUGGUGUAGUGAGUUGGAAAGCAUUCUUAUAAGAUCAUAUUACCUUGUAUUCGACUGAGACAGAGGACAUGGCAUUAACCUCUAUAGCAAAUGAGGUGAUAUGGUCACGAAAUUUGCUUUCGGACUUUGAGCUGGAUUAGAAAAGUGUUGAUAUACAUAGUGAUAAUCAAGAUGCAAUAUUUUUGGCAUAUAAUCUAGUUUAUCACGAGCAAAUGAAGCAUAUUAAUGUCAGGUACCAUUUCAUCUGAAAUGUCUUAGUGAAGGGCAAUGUCAUUGUAAAAAAGAUUGCAACAACAGACAUGAUGACACUGUUCAUUUGGCGAAGCUCAAGCAAAGUAUUUGUGGAGAGCGAGCGCCUAUCGGUGCAUUGAGAGAGUAACGUGGAAGGUGAUCACUAUAAAUUGGUUUCAAAUGUUGAGUUAAAGUGGAGAAUUAUUAAAUUAAUGUCUCGAGUUUAUAUCUAAAUUGAUAUUGAUGCGCGGCUGUAAAAGUGAAAUACACAAUUUUCCUGCAUUCAAUCUGAACAAAGACCAACCCGUGUGCGGCUUGAACU
This is a long non-coding RNA of Eucalyptus grandis, 1794 nucleotides long. RefSeq lists it as uncharacterized. Lineage: Eukaryota; Viridiplantae; Streptophyta; Magnoliopsida; Myrtales; Myrtaceae. The record is from RefSeq and is a predicted model, not a curated record. The transcript has 2 exons.